UGGGGAAUAUUGGACAAUGGGCGCAAGCCUGAUCCAGCCAUGCCGCGUGAGUGAUGAAGGCCCUAGGGCUGUAAAGCUCUUUCACCGGUGAAGAUAAUGACGGUAACCGGAGAAGAAGCACCGGCUAACUCCGUGCCAGCAGCCGCGGUAAUACGGAGGGUGCAAGCGUUAAUCGGAAUUACUGGGCGUAAAGCGCACGCAGGCGGUCUGUUAAGUCAGAUGUGAAAUCCCAGAGCUCAACUCUGGAACUGCCUUUGAUACUGGGUACCUAGAGUAUGGAAGAGGUGAGUGGAAUUCCGAGUGUAGAGGUGAAAUUCGUAGAUAUUCGGAGGAACACCAGUGGCGAAGGCGGCUCACUGGUCCAUUACUGACGCUGAGGUGCGAAAGCGUGGGGAGCAAACA
This 402-nucleotide ribosomal RNA is filed under the name uncultured bacterium. Its description in RNAcentral is "bacterial SSU rRNA". It matches the Rfam family "Bacterial small subunit ribosomal RNA", at positions 355 to 774 of the family's 1533-position model. The record is from RNAcentral.